GGUCCAAGAAUCACAUUUUGAGAACCACUGCUUUUGGCCAAGUCUCCAUGAGUGAAAGUUCUCAACCUCUGAUUGCAAGUUUAUUUUGACUAUUUACCAUAAUGUCAACUUCAAUGCUCUUCUUGAAGGCAUGACUUGUCAUCCUAAUAUAAUUAGCCCCUCUUUCAGCAGAUCAGACCUACGAUAUGCCUCAGCCUCUGGAGGACACGGAGAAAAUGGAAGCCAUGGAGGAGAAAAGAGAAAAGUGUCAGAGGACCAGGAUAUACCCUCAGGACUAGCACUGUGCCUGCCAUAGAAUGGGGUCUGCUCAGUGUUUUUUGGGUUGAGCUUCAUCUUAGAAUGAAAUUCUAAAUUGAGGGGGCUAAAGGAGUUGAAAAUGGUAUCUGUAAUACUAAAUUUCAGACUGCUGCACAAUAUAUCAGUUUUAGGUAAUUUUUAAAAGAUAAACAAGUACAAGACUUCAAAGAAGUCUCUCCCUGGUGAAGGGUCCCUUCCGGCUUCACCUUAGAGUCUCUGCACUUUUAGUUCAUCUCAUUCGGGUGUUUCAAGGGAACAGAAAAGCCCUGGUUUAGAUGAUGCAGGGUUUUCUGAUGCCAAAGUGAGAAUGAUAAAAUGUCUGAAGGAAGAACAGGAUGCUAUGCAUUCCAGGCAGAAUCUGGACUUGAAAACAAUGAAGCACAAAUGCUUUUAGAUGAACUGAUUCACUUUUAUUUUGUAAACAUCCUAGAAGAAUUCCAUUUGCACUGAACUGUUUGAACCACUGCAGAGCUCUUGGUCCUUGUAAUCCCCAAGGAAAGUCAAUCUAUCCCGUCCUGCUACAUCUAUCCCGUCCUGCUACACUGUGUUUCUCCACUUUGCCCCUUUUCUCAGUUCUUUGUGAUCAGCAUAAAGUUUGAACCCUUCCUCUUCUCACCGUCCUGACUGGCCACCUGUCCAGCCCUGCGGUCAGCUGUACUGACCAGCAGACGGUGCCUCUCUUGCCAAGUGGAGCCGAUGCUCUGUAACCAUUGUUUGUGGGGCCACACUGCCGUCCCCAUCGUUGCCCCUCCAGGACACUCGUCAACAGCUGUGAGAGGCUUCCCAUCCUGGCCUAUAUAAAAGGAAGGCCUGAAAACGCUUCUCGGAGCAUCAGUUCAUAGGUCACCGCAACCGGCCGAACAAUACGCGAUUAUUCAGUGGGCUCCAAUUCAUUUGCCUUCUGCUCCUCCCCCACCGUUACCCUUGAGAGAAAACUAAUUUGCAGAAAAAUAGCCCCUGCCAGCCAACUUCUUCUCCUAAAUGUAUGCUGACCCCGAAC
Molecule: long non-coding RNA, 1297 nt
Organism: Rhinopithecus roxellana (golden snub-nosed monkey)
Lineage: Eukaryota; Metazoa; Chordata; Mammalia; Primates; Cercopithecidae
Exons: 2
Source: RefSeq, a predicted model, not a curated record